AAGCAGCAGGGUUGGAGGGUUGGAGGAGGAGGUAGAAGCAGCAGGGUUGGACGGUUGGAGGAGGAGGUAGUAGCAGCAGGGUUGGAGGGUUGGAUGAGGAGGUAGUAGCAGCAGGGUUGGCGGAUGAGGUAGAAGCGGUAGGGUUGGAGGAGGAGGUAGAAGCAGCAGGGUUGGACGGUUGGAGGAGAAGGUAGUAGCAGCAGGGUUGGAGGAGGAGGUAGAAGCAGCAGGGUUGGAGGGUUGGAUGAGGAGGUAGAAGUAGCAGGGUUGGAUGAGGAGGUAGAAGCAGCAAGGUUGGCAGAUGAGGUAGAAGCGGUAGGGUUGGAAGAGAAGGUAGAAGCAGCAGGGUUGGACGGUUGGAGGAGAAGGUAGUAGCAGCAGGGUUGAAGGAGGAGGUAGUAGCAGCAGGGUUGGAUGAGGAGGUAUUAGCAGCAGGGUUGGAGGAGGAGGAGGUAGAAGCAGCAGGGUUGGAGGGUUGGAUGAGGAGGUAGAAGCGGUAGGGUUGGAAGAGAAGGUAGAAGCAGCAGGGUUGGACGGUUGGAGGAGAAGGUAGUAGCAGCAGGGUUGGAGGAAGAGGUAUUAGCAGCAGGGUUGGAGGAGGAGGUAGUAGCAGCAGGGUUGGAGGGUUGGAGGAGGAGGUAGAAGCAGCACGGUUGGAGGAGGUGGUAGUAGUAGCAGGGUUAGUGUCGGAUGAGGAGGUAGUAGCAGCAGGCUUGGAUGAGGAGGUAGAAGCAGCAGGGUUGGAGGAGGAGGUAGAAGCAGCAGGGUUGGCAGAUGAGGUAGAAGCGGUAGGGUUGGAAGAGAAGGUAGAAGCAGCAGGGUUGGACGGUUGGAGGAGAAGGUAGUAGCAGCAGGGUUGAAGGAGGAGGUAGUAGCAGCAGGGUUGAAGGAGGAGGUAGUAGCAGCAGGGUUGGAGGGUUGGAUGAGGAGGUAGAAGCAGGAUGGUUGGAUGAGGAGGUAGUAGCAGCAGGGUUGAAGGAGGAG
Molecule: long non-coding RNA, 984 nt
Filed under: Salmo salar (Atlantic salmon)
Lineage: Eukaryota; Metazoa; Chordata; Actinopteri; Salmoniformes; Salmonidae
Description: lncRNA (ENSSSAG00000095011.1)
Source: RNAcentral